Nicotiana tabacum (common tobacco) is the source of this 396-nucleotide non-coding RNA. The record is from RefSeq and is a predicted model, not a curated record. NCBI's taxonomy places the organism in Eukaryota, Viridiplantae, Streptophyta, Magnoliopsida, Solanales, Solanaceae.
CCCAACAUUCAAGAGCAUACUUGGAACUAGUUGCCCUUGCUAUAAAUAUGCAGAGAAUUUGGACAAUCAAGUCUUGAUCACUCUUGAAGCUUAUUGUGAUGUUGAUAGCCCUUGCAAGGGUUUGCAAGUGAUUAAGCUCUCCAAGGAGGAGGAGUAAAAAUAAAGAGACUUGAUAUUUAAUUCCAGAUCUUAUAUUAGAUGAUUUGCUGUUAAUCUUUCUGUUGAAAAGUCUUUAAACUAUGGUUUAGUCUACCAUGUUUUUAAGACAUUGUAAUUUCUAGGGGUAAACUUGUAGUGUUGUGUUUCGAGCAAUAACUUGGCAUAUCUGUCAAAUUCUUAGUACUAAUAACUGUUAUUGUACUCAUUUUGUAGCCCGAUAUUCUCUACUUUUCUGCA